Amaranthus tricolor (Joseph's coat) is the source of this 1060-nucleotide long non-coding RNA. RefSeq lists it as uncharacterized. The transcript has 3 exons. NCBI's taxonomy places the organism in Eukaryota, Viridiplantae, Streptophyta, Magnoliopsida, Caryophyllales, Amaranthaceae. The record is from RefSeq and is a predicted model, not a curated record.
AUUGAGGUCCGUCACGUCCCUCAUUUCGUAUGUGGUCACAAUUGUUUAUGACAAAGUACUUUUUCUUUAUUAUACUUCCCCACUCAUCUUACUUCCAAUAUUAUAAGAUAAUACUCCCUCCGAAUUAAUUUAGAUGUCCCAUUUGCUUGGGUACGGUUAUUAAAGAUGAUGUGCGGUCCAUUAAAAAGAGUAAGUAGUAAAAGGUAAGUAGUACGGUUAUUUCCAGGUAUUUUAAGUGUCCUUUGCACUUCUUCGUUUCAUUAUCGAAACAUAUAGAAUUAGAUUGGCUUUAAAACUGUCGGUAUCAUCAAUUGAUUCUAUUAACAACGAACCACUAUAUUGCUUAUUUUAUGGGUGAUUGAUGUAGCACAUAUAAAUAAAUCUGCUUGGUGUUCUUCGGAAGAAGAACUUCGACUCUUGCAAUUACAUAGAUGAUUGUAGGCUUGUAGCAACCGAAAACAGGUAAAAGAAUCUGAUUAAUUAAUUGGUGAGAGCAUGGAGCAUAACUCAGACAAUAAAGCCCCAGAAAUCAAAGUUCGAAUGGCAGAUAAUGGAGUCACGAUUAGCAUUACUUUUAAGAUGAAAAAGGGUAUUUUAAGUACAAUUAUUAAUGAGGUUGAACAACGUCCUCUCCUUAUUACCAACAUUAAUUCUAUGCCAUUCACCGAUCAACUUUCAUUAUUCAGUAUUGUGGCUAAGAAAGAACCGGAUUUCGCAUCAACGCAACAAGAGUUAGUGGAUCAACUAAAUUCACUAUUCAUGUAGUGAAUUAAGGCAAAUUAGUCUUCAUUAAUUAGGAUUAUGAUGCGCAAGGGUUAUUUUCAACUUUACAUUACUUGUACGAUUGAAAAUUAAUAAUAGUAAAGCCAAGGAGAUGUGUUUUGUUGUUUUAAAUUAUAUAAAAUACAUUUUUAUAUGUGUAAGUCUUAUAUAGACUUAAGUCUACUUUAAAAUAACUAUGUACGGAUGUAUUUUUUUUAAUAUUUCUUCAUUUUUUAUUUAAUUUCACUUUUUAAAUAGAAAUGUGGAUAGUACUAUUUUAAUACUAAUUAAGUGCCUA